This 495-nucleotide ribosomal RNA is filed under the name uncultured bacterium. RNAcentral's name for it is "partial 16S ribosomal RNA". It matches the Rfam family "Bacterial small subunit ribosomal RNA", at positions 28 to 507 of the family's 1533-position model. The record is from RNAcentral.
GACGAACGCUGGCGGCGUGCCUAAUACAUGCAAGUAGAACGCUGAAGGAGGAGCUUGCUUCUCUGGAUGAGUUGCGAACGGGUGAGUAACGCGUAGGUAACCUGCCUGGUAGCGGGGGAUAACUAUUGGAAACGAUAGCUAAUACCGCAUAAGAGUAGAUGUUGCAUGACAUUUGCUUAAAAGGUGCAAUUGCAUCACUACCAGAUGGACCUGCGUUGUAUUAGCUAGUUGGUGAGGUAACGGCUCACCAAGGCGACGAUGCAUAGCCGACCUGAGAGGGUGAUCGGCCACACUGGGACUGAGACACGGCCCAGACUCCUACGGGAGGCAGCAGUAGGGAAUCUUCGGCAAUGGACGGAAGUCUGACCGAGCAACGCCGCGUGAGUGAAGAAGGUUUUCGGAUCGUAAAGCUCUGUUGUAAGAGAAGAACGAGUGUGAGAGUGGAAAGUUCACACUGUGACGGUAUCUUACCAGAAAGGGACGGCUAACUACGUG